RNAcentral lists this ribosomal RNA (301 nucleotides) under uncultured bacterium. Its description in RNAcentral is "partial 16S ribosomal RNA". It matches the Rfam family "Bacterial small subunit ribosomal RNA", at positions 509 to 807 of the family's 1533-position model. The record is from RNAcentral.
CAGUAGCCGCGGUAAUACGUAGGGUCCGAGCGUUGUCCGGAAUUAUUGGGCGUAAAGAGCUCGUAGGCGGUCUGUCGCGUCUGCCGUGAAAUCCUCAGGCUCAACCUGAGGCGUGCGGUGGGUACGGGCAGGCUAGAGUGCGGUAGGGGAGAAUGGAACUCCUGGUGUAGCGGUGGAAUGCGCAGAUAUCAGGAAGAACACCGAUGGCGAAGGCAGUUCUCUGGGCCGUAACUGACGCUGAGGAGCGAAAGCGUGGGGAGCGAACAGGAUUAGAUACCCCCGUAGUCCCUGUCUCUUAUAC